Chiloscyllium plagiosum (whitespotted bambooshark) is the source of this 1357-nucleotide non-coding RNA. The record is from RefSeq and is a predicted model, not a curated record. NCBI's taxonomy places the organism in Eukaryota, Metazoa, Chordata, Chondrichthyes, Orectolobiformes, Hemiscylliidae.
CUAUACUGCGCUGUAUUCUUCUAUGUUCUAUGUUCUAGAAUCAUUUCGUAUAUCAACAGGAAGGAAAUAUGUGACUAAACAGUGGAAAUGUUUUCAAUUCUUAACAUUGGACAAUCUACAGAUGAUGAGAGGGAUGGAAGGGAAGGUACAUUUAAGACCUAGAAAUCAGAAAGAAAGGAAAAGGCAGAAGAAAUUAAAUCAACAUGAUUUCUCGGCUGAAGUGUGUUUAUUUCAAUACAGUGAAUAUUAUAGGUAAGGCAGAUGAGCUCAGAGCCUGGAUCAGUACAUGGGACUAUGAUUGUGUGGCCAUUACAGAGACUUGGUUGACAAAGAGACAGGAUUGGCUGCUCAAUAUUCGAAGGUUUCAUUGUUUUAGACAAGAUAGUGAGAAAGGUAAAAGAGAUGGGAGGAGUUGCAUCACUAAUCAGAGAAAAUGUUACAUUUGCACUCAGAGGACAUACUGGAGGGCACAUCCCCUGAGGCAAUAUUGGUCGAGUUGAAAAAUAAGAUCGGUGCAAUCACUCUGAUAGGAUUAUACUAUAGCUGCACCCCUCAUCAGCCACCAAGACAUUGAGGAAAAAAUAUAGACAGAUUGUGGAAAGAUGCAAUAAAAAUGGAAUUGUUAUGGUGGGUGACUAACUUCCCCGAUAUUAACUGGGACUCCCUAAAAGCAAGGACCUUAGACGGGGCAGAAUUUGUUCAGUGUAUCCAAGAGGGUUUCUUGAAACAGUAUGUGGAUAAUCCAACUACAGGAGAGGCAAUACUUGACCUUGCACUGGCUAAUGAGCCUGGCUCGGUGACUGACCUUUCACUGGGAGAGCAUUUUGGAAACAGUGAUCACAAUUUGUUCAGAUUUGAGAUCUGAGAGAAAGGAUAAGUUAGGACCCUCAGCAAGGUAAUAAACUGAGGGAGGACAAAUUACAUCAGUAUUAGGCAGGAGCCAUGGAGUGUUAACUGGAAGGAGCUGUUAUCAGGCAAGUCCACAUUUGACAUGUGGGAAUUGUUUAAAGACCAGCUGAUGAGAGUUCAGAACCAGCAUGUUUCACUAAGGAGGAAGGGCAAGGAUGGAAAGGUAAGGGACCAUUGGAUAAUGAGGAGGUUAUGAAUUUAGUCAAAAGGCAAAAAAGCAUAUCUAAGGUUUAGGAAGCAAAAAUUGGAUAGGGCCCAUGAUGAAGAACCCAAGCAUGGAAUUAGGAAAGCAAAAAGGGGCAAUGAAAUGAUCUUGGCAAGUAGGGUUAAAGAGAAUCCAAAGGUAUUCUAUGCAUACAUUAAAAACAAGAGAAUAAGGUAGGACCACUGAAGGACAGAGGAGGGAACUUGUGUUUGGGUGGGUAAGAUUCUAAAUGAGUACUUUGUG